Molecule: long non-coding RNA, 452 nt
Filed under: Mytilus galloprovincialis (Mediterranean mussel)
Lineage: Eukaryota; Metazoa; Mollusca; Bivalvia; Mytilida; Mytilidae
Source: RNAcentral
AAUUGAAUUAAACAAGAAUGUGUCCAUAGUACACGAAUGCCCCACUCGCACUAUCAUUUUCUAUGUUCAGUGGACCGUGAAAUUGGGGUCAAAACUUUAAUUUGGAAUUAAAAUUAGAAAGAUCAUAUCAUAGGGAACAUGUGUACAAAGUUUCAAGUUGAUGUAACUUUAACUUCAUCAAAAACUACCUUGACCAAAAACUUUAACCUGAACUUCGCACUAUCAGUUUCUAUGUUCAGUGGACCAUGAAAUUGGGGUCAAAACUAUAAUUUAGCAUCAAAAUUAGAAAGAUCAUAUCAUGGGGAACAAGUGUACUAAAUUUCAAGUUGAUUGAACUUCAACUUCUUCAAAAACUACCUUGACCAAAAACUUUAACCUGAAGCGGACGGACGAACGGAGGCACAGACCAGAAAACAUAAUGCCCCUCUACUAUCGUAGGUGGGGCAUAAAAA